RNAcentral lists this ribosomal RNA (460 nucleotides) under uncultured bacterium. RNAcentral describes it as "partial 16S ribosomal RNA". It matches the Rfam family "Bacterial small subunit ribosomal RNA", at positions 338 to 795 of the family's 1533-position model. The record is from RNAcentral.
CCUACGGGAGGCUGCAGUGAGGAAUAUUGGUCAAUGGACGAGAGUCUGAACCAGCCAAGUAGCGUGAAGGAUGACUGCCCUAUGGGUUGUAAACUUCUUUUAUAUGGGAGUAAAAUGUUCCACGUGUGGGGUUUUGUGUGUACCAUAUGAAUAAGGAUCGGCUAACUCCGUGCCAGCAGCCGCGGUAAUACGGAGGAUGCGAGCGUUAUCCGGAUUUAUUGGGUUUAAAGGGUGCGUAGGUGGAUAGUUAAGUCAGUUGUGAAAGUUUGCGGCUCAACCGUAAAAUUGCAGUUGAAACUGGCAGUCUUGAGUACAGUAGAGGUGGGCGGAAUGCGUGGUGUAGCGGUGAAAUGCAUAGAUAUCACGAAGAACUCCGAUUGCGAAGGCAGUUCACUGGACUGCAACUGACACUGAGGCUCGAAAGUGUGGGUAUCAAACAGGAUUAGAUACCCGAGUAGUC